UACAGAGGGGGCAAGCGUUGUUCGGAAUUACUGGGCGUAAAGGGCGCGUAGGCGGCCCGCUAAGUCGAACGUGAAAUCCCCAGGCUUAACCUGGGAACUGCGUCCGAUACUGGUGGGCUUGAAUCCGGGAGAGGUGAGUGGAACUCCGAGUGUAGAGGUGAAAUUCGUAGAUAUUCGGAAGAGCACCAGUGGCGAAGGCGGCUCACUGGCCCGGUACUGACGCUGAGAUACGAAAGCGUGGGGAGCAAACAGG
RNAcentral lists this ribosomal RNA (253 nucleotides) under uncultured bacterium. RNAcentral describes it as "partial 16S ribosomal RNA". It matches the Rfam family "Bacterial small subunit ribosomal RNA", at positions 524 to 776 of the family's 1533-position model. The record is from RNAcentral.